UUUUUCUUAAUGUCGAUUUAAUCCCUAACUUUUGUUUUCAGCCAAUUUGAUCUCUAAACUUAUAUUAUGGUUUCAAUUAAGGAUCUCUACGGCAGCGCCACCACGGAAAAUAGAUCAAACUCCACAUUGACCAAUUAAACAGGGGUAUUUUAGGAACUUUUAGAUAUCCCCUCCCUCUAUUAUCAAUUCCUACGGCCUACCAGCCACCUCCCCCUUCUACUCCUACCUUUCUUCUCCAACCUCUCCAUUCCCUCCAUCUAUCAUGUCCAUCAUCUUUGUUGCAGCCCACUAACUAGUCCUUGAGCAGCCCAAAACACAAUCCUUCUUACAUUGAAGAAGAGGCUUCCUUUGUCAAAAGAGAUAGCAGUAAAAGCUUCUCUCUUUCUUGCUUCUACACAGCUAUAGCCAUGCCAAGUUCAAAGCAGGAAUCAAAGGUUUAUCCCAAGCAGCCAUCAAAAUGACUUUUGUUGUGGUGGAUGAUGAGUGUUAGGCGAAGCCAUGAAAUCCUUGUUAGUUUCUUGGGAAAUUUUGGCCUUGCUGAACUUGUACACUGCAAAAAUAAUAUGGAUACAUUGAAAUAAAGUUUUUCGUAGCUUUGGGUAUAAGCGAUACAUCAAAUCUUGCCUCCAGUAGUCCUCCAGUUUUUACAUAUAUCAUGUUGUCUUGUAAUUUGAUUUUUGAAUUUUGCCGGAAUGUUCUUGCUAUCUAUGAACAUGCCCUUUUUCUUCCAUGGAAGGAGGAUAAAAAUGAAUUAAAAAAAAAAAGAGAAUUUACUCUUCACUCUCCAUCCAAUCCACCAUUUUUGGUACUGCUCCUAUAUUUGAUUUUGUUAAUAUAAUGCUUACAAAACUCAAAUUACUACUACUACUUGUCUGUAGAGAAUCACUGGAUUAGAUCCACCUUAAUCAACAAAAUCAUUACUAAUGAUUACCAAAAAAACAACAUACUUCAUCAUGUCUUGAUCUUCACUAGAACAGAUCCGAUACUUACCCAACAUCUAGAUUUGGGGCAUCAUAUGGUUUCGGCUUCACCCAAUUCAAGGGAGUCUCUUUGCUUAGUUUUUGGAAUAUCUUGGCCCUCAAAUCCCUCCCAAACUCUACCUUCUCUCCAUCAUUGGCUCCUCUUCGCACCCUUCUCCGUCCCAGAAGUCAAAGUAUCGCAUCUUGUUCCUGAUCGAUUCUUAGUUGCAAAAUUUAUAGAGAUGACUGACAUAACAGAGGGAGGAGCAAAAGAGGUGGGAGAAGAAGGGCGAGAGAAGGAGGAGGUAGGUGGCAGGUGGUGGAAAUUGAUGGUGCAAGGAGGACAAAUCAAAAGUUCCUAAAAUACCCCUGUUUAGUUGAUAAAUUAGGAGUUUGAUU
RNAcentral lists this long non-coding RNA (1358 nucleotides) under Coffea arabica (coffee). RNAcentral describes it as "long non-coding RNA (CARA_LNC002080)". The record is from RNAcentral. Lineage: Eukaryota; Viridiplantae; Streptophyta; Magnoliopsida; Gentianales; Rubiaceae.